Molecule: ribosomal RNA, 301 nt
Filed under: uncultured bacterium
Lineage: Bacteria
Description: partial 16S ribosomal RNA
Rfam family: Bacterial small subunit ribosomal RNA
Source: RNAcentral
CAGUCGCCGCGGGAAUACGUAGGGUGCAAGCGUUAAUCGGAAUUACUGGGCGUAAAGCGUGCGCAGGCGGUUAUAUAAGACAGAUGUGAAAUCCCCGGGCUCAACCUGGGAACUGCAUUUGUGACUGUAUAGCUAGAGUACGGCAGAGGGGGAUGGAAUUCCGCGUGUAGCAGUGAAAUGCGUAGAUAUGCGGAGGAACACCGAUGGCGAAGGCAAUCCCCUGGGCCUGUACUGACGCUCAUGCACGAAAGCGUGGGGAGCAAACAGGAUUAGAUACCCCUGUAGUCACUGUCUCUUAUAC